CUGAAAACGUUUGCUUCCAAAUGUCUUCCUAUCUGAACAAUUCAAUACAAAUUGUAACUAGACAUGCAUGUACGUAUGAACAGUGUGUUGUCCAUCAUGAAGUUUGCCGUGCUGUUUCUUUUGUUGACGGCGUUAGCAUUUGAUGAAACUGAAUCACAAAAGUUAUCGAAGGAGAAGGUGGUUUGUGCAAAGAAAGACGAA
Molecule: non-coding RNA, 201 nt
Organism: Paramuricea clavata
Lineage: Eukaryota; Metazoa; Cnidaria; Anthozoa; Malacalcyonacea; Plexauridae
Source: the annotation of a GenBank genome assembly